This 263-nucleotide ribosomal RNA is filed under the name Salmonella enterica subsp. enterica serovar Typhimurium. RNAcentral describes it as "partial 23S ribosomal RNA". It matches the Rfam family "Bacterial large subunit ribosomal RNA", at positions 1 to 255 of the family's 2925-position model. The record is from RNAcentral. Lineage: Bacteria; Pseudomonadati; Pseudomonadota; Gammaproteobacteria; Enterobacterales; Enterobacteriaceae.
GGGUUGUGAGGUUAAGCGACUAAGCGUACACGGUGGAUGCCCUGGCAGUCAGAGGCGAUGAAGGACGUGCUAAUCUGCGAUAAGCGCCGGUAAGGUGAUAUGAACCGUUAUAACCGGCGAUUUCCGAAUGGGGAAACCCAGUGUGAUUCGUCACACUAUCAUUAACUGAAUCCAUAGGUUAAUGAGGCGAACCGGGGGAACUGAAACAUCUAAGUACCCCGAGGAAAAGAAAUCAACCGAGAUUCCCCCAGUAGCGGCGAGCG